Physcomitrium patens is the source of this 1206-nucleotide non-coding RNA. NCBI's taxonomy places the organism in Eukaryota, Viridiplantae, Streptophyta, Bryopsida, Funariales, Funariaceae. The record is from RefSeq and is a predicted model, not a curated record.
UCAACCAAUAAUUCAGACUUGUGCUGCUUUUAAGGCUUGUUUUGAUUGACUGAUCGACGACGACUCCUCGUACCUCUCGAUUCCAUCUUGUCAUCGCCAUAGCCAGCGAUCUGUGCAGCCCAAAAUCGAUGCUGAAUACUUAAUGCGACUCAGCAAAGGAAUCGCGAGGGGCAUGGAGGGGCCCGAUUCCUGGUGAGUGAAUAAGUGAGUGAGUUGCAAUCGUUUCUUCUCGAGAUGCCGAUGAUAACUGCCGUUGAUGAGUGGGGAGGCAUUGAUUUUUGCCUUUUACUGCUCACACUUCAAUACAAGAUCUGGGAGGUAUGUUGCAGAAACUUCUGCAAAGACCGUUGCGAAGACCAGCUUCUGGAAGCCUCCCGGUGUUUGAACGGGGUCGAUGAGAGCUUGAGGCUUGCCAAUCGUUGUCGAAAUCGACCUGGAGAGCUAAAGUACGAUUAAUGCUGUGGUUCAUGGACUAGCAACAGCAGCUGUUGUUUUACAACAUCCAUGUGCUGAUUACGCUUCGACACAGGAAAGGUGGGGGGAUGGUGACAGCGUCGGAGAAGUCGGAGUUUUCAAAAUUGGGGGACCUCGUGAAUGGCGUUCGGAUUACUGCGCGAGCACGCCAUUUGUUCCUGGAGGUGAGAAAUACGAAAUACACAAAAAGUUGAUGCUAUGCGUGUUGGUUACAAGUAAGCCAGUUGAAGUGAAGAGUUGAUGCCGAUGAUACCUUCCGCGACCACGAUGGAGAGGGACCCUGAUAUUGCAACUCGACCACGUGCUUGGCUUUUUUCUCCACUGUGUCUGUACGACGGUAGCUCUUGUUGUACGCUACAAGACAUGAAAACAGUGUCUGGAUCUCCAAGUUUUGCAGAGAAUUUGUCGCAUCCAAGCUAACCUUUUGUGACGCUUAACAUUUUUAGUAAAUCCUUUUAUAUGUAUGUACAUAUAUAUAGAUAUAUAUAUAUAUAUAUAUAUAUAUAUAUUACCUGAUGAAAUAUUUUCUAUGCUGCAUAGAUAUUUAUCCACCUCCAGGACAGGGGCCACUCAAAAACUACCUUUAAAGUUGUAUCUUGUAAGUAGGGAGGAUGAAUGAGAUUAGUAGAUUUUUCGCUUGAUAAAUAUGUAUUAUUUUACAUGUGAUCACUUAUUUUGGUAGUACAAGGGUAAUGAACUUAAAUGAAGAUACUUGAAGCUACAAAGUAUCAA